RNAcentral lists this ribosomal RNA (380 nucleotides) under uncultured bacterium. RNAcentral's name for it is "partial 16S ribosomal RNA". It matches the Rfam family "Archaeal small subunit ribosomal RNA", at positions 473 to 851 of the family's 1478-position model. The record is from RNAcentral.
ACACCGGCAGCUCAAGUGGUAGCCGCUUUUAUUGGGCCUAAAGCGUCCGUAGCCGGUCUGAUAAGUCUCUGGUGAAAUCCCACAGCUUAACUGUGGGAAUUGCUGGAGAUACUAUCAUGACUCGAGGUCGGGAGAGGCUGGAGGUACUCCCAGGGUAGGGGUGAAAUCCUGUAAUCCUGGGAGGACCACCUGUGGCGAAGGCGUCCAGCUGGAACGAACCUGACGGUGAGGGACGAAAGCCAGGGGCGCGAACCGGAUUAGAUACCCGGGUAGUCCUGGCCGUAAACGAUGUGGACUUGGUGUUGGGAUGGCUUCGAGCUGCCCCAGUGCCGAAGGGAAGCUGUUAAGUCCACCGCCUGGGAAGUACGGCCGCAAGGCUG